RNAcentral lists this long non-coding RNA (2546 nucleotides) under Mus musculus (house mouse). Its description in RNAcentral is "long non-coding RNA chr18:36292625-36295171". Lineage: Eukaryota; Metazoa; Chordata; Mammalia; Rodentia; Muridae. The record is from RNAcentral.
AAGAAUCAGGGUGGGUUUGGUGGCCCAAGCACUUCAAAGCAUCCUUAUGUGGAUUAAGAUUUAGAGUGUUGGAAAAGAUGUAAUAUUUUUAUUCCUGAUUUUUUUUUUAAUGGAACUUGAUGUUUGGAGAAAUCGUCUCAGUUUUGGUUUUGCACUUUUAACAUUUUUGUGUUUUGGCAAUAUUGAAACUUAAAACUAACAACAGUUUUCUCUGUUAACAUUUUGGGUUAAUCUGACAGUCAUGGGGAACACACCAUGGGCAUAGAAUUAUUUUUAUCUUUACAUGACUUGCCCUCUCUUCUCCAGUAUUUCCAUUAGGUUUUUUUGUUUUUGUUUUUAAUGUAAUACAUCAUACACAUUUUCAGAUGAUUUUAGAAUGGGGCUUCCCUAAAUUACUUGGGUAGCUUUCAUAGCUCCACCCUUUUUAAAACACGUAAGUGUACUUUUAAUAUUUUCUUGUCUAUAAAAACUGAGAUAGAAAAUCUAUUUUUCCUCUUUUUGUCCUUUCUUGGAUACCAGGAUGAAAUUUUGUUUAUUGUGUGAAAGAAAGCUAAGACAAGGAGAUCUUCAGCACUUUAGAGUCAAAACAGUGGGUGAGAACUCUGAGUAUAACAUUCAGAGAGAGCUCAUGAUUUGUCAUGAGAAUGGAAUAAGGGAGAGAUCUAAUUGCCUAAGCAAACUUACUAGUUUUGUAAGUUUAUUUUAAACUUUAUCAAAAAUUUUAAACAUUAAACAUAUUAAAACAUUGUUUUCUUCAUUGUAAGCCAAAAUUAGGACACUGAUAGUAACAUAUUCUAUAAAACUAAAGUGAUCAAUACUUACAGUGGCACUUAAUACAACAGCAUUAAUUACCAUAGCUCUACAGAGUUUGCAGUACAUUUUUUAAGAAAAGCUGAUUUAAAGAUUUAUGAAGCUAUUUGAUUCUAAAGUCAAACCUAAAUUUAAGGCCUAGGCCAUUUGACUUGCUCUUUUUGAGCAGAAAUUUCAUUAUUAUGGGCCAUGUAAUGAUGAUCUAAACUAGCAGUAGCAUAGUCUAAAUUAGCAUUAGAGUUUCAAGAUUAAAGAGAAGCAGAUGAAAAAUGAGAUGCAGCUGGUUCUAAGCAGCUUGUUUUCCUCCAUCUACAAACUGACGACCAAUUUCGAUGUUAAAGGGUCUAGGCAACUUGUGUCUUCAGAAAAGUUGGAUAUGAAAAAUAGCCUCUUACUGAUAUUUUUCUUGUAAGGAAUUUAUAUUCUUCCAUUUUUGCCUUCAUGUCAUGUCUCCUUCCUUCCAUCCAUCACAUUUGCUCUCUUCCCCCUCCUCCUUUUUCUUCCCUUUCUUCUGUUGUCUAGCUUUUGUGGUAAGCUGUCUUGUUGAUGUAGAAAUGUGGUGAUCUUUUGUGUAAAACAAGGCGACUUUUUACAGACCAGAAAUAUUUUAUUGUUCUUGGAAUCAUAUUUUUGUGCUUCCAUGAGUACAUACUUUGUUUUUAUUAUUAAUUUGCAUAUUAAUUAAUUUUUUAGCAUUUCAUGGGGGGUGGAGUUAAACUAAUGAGUUUUAAUUUUUUUGGUUUUGGAUUCACUUUAGUAAUCCCGAAGGCCUAUAAGGUGAAAAAUCACACUUGUGUUUUGGAAUUGUGGAAAUAUUCUUGCUGGUAUUAUAUUUUGGUCUGAGAUAUAUUAAUACAAAAGACUUCUAGGAGGAUUUAAGUGGUAGUUAAAAGUUCCAGGACAGGUGACACUCACUUGAGUAGCUCAAACAGUAAUAAUAAUCAGGUAAUAAUUUACACUGGUUGACAUUAAGUCAAACUCUUCUGAAAUGGACUGACAAUAUGCAGUGCAGUUAGUUGUUGGUAGCACUUGACCUCCAUGGCAAGUAUGUCUGACAACUUGGCUCCUUCAUUCUCCUUUAUGAUCCUGUUCAUGGCAUCUGAGCAUUCCUCCUUCAGAAAGAAGUGAAAUAAUGACUCUUUCCUUUGAACAUAGCUAAUUGAUGAUCCAGGAAGAUUUCUGUAUUUUGAUGUAAUUUGGCCUCCCUUCCCCUCUUAUGGCUAUUUCCCCCCAUAGUCUUAACUUGGCAAUUUGAAGAACAUCUAAAUGAGUACUUGUUAGGAAACCUGGGAAAUGAAGAGUGUAAGAAGCAUGUGUUUAAGUUACUGAGAACUGAGACUUACUGGUUUGGAAAUUGGAGAGCAGAAAGAAUAAAGCUGUUUGUUUGUGAAUUGGGGUGUGAGAGAUGCAGAAGAGAAUGAUUGGAAGUAAAGUAGGAGGAAUUUUUAUUGACAGUAGAAAAAAGCAUUAAGAUGAACUCUGCAUGAGAGGUGUUGACUAAGAGCAAGGAGGUUGAGCUUCACUAAAGAAGUGUCAGGGGGUCCCUUGUUGGCUAAGAGAUAACUUGGUCUGUAGCUAGUAAAGGUGAUGGAUUGAUUAAACAGAUCAGUUCUGAUGUGUAUAUAUGAUGGUUUGAGGGUUUGUCUGCUCCUCUGAACAAAUUUAAGUAACACAGUUGUGAAAUGGCAGCUUUUCUGGUCAAGGCACAUUGGUGUUGGGAACUUACUAUUUUGGGG